AUGGAGCUUGAGCUUAGUCUAGGCGAUCUUCCAGCUCCAGUGAAGGCCAACAACACCAUGCCCGCGCCGGCAACAUGCCAAGGAGAAGACCACGACGACCUUGCGCUAGGGCUACGAGUAAUGGCUACCGAAAGAGCUGACCAAGAUAACCAGAGGACAAGCAUAGAAACUGCGGAGGGAGAAGAUAGUGACGAAGCAUGCCGGGAACUGCCUGUCAGAGCAAGCCCUCUUCGCCAAGCCUCUGCACAAACAGCGGGUGCGAAUUCACGGGGGUUUGAUGUGAACGCUCCUGUUCCGGUGGAUGACAGAGCGUUGAUAGCGAGGUCCUUGUCACCGCCGUCCAUGCAUAUGGAGGUUCCUGUGGCACAGGGAGUUGACGAGGAAGCUUCAGAGGAAGAAGACAAUAGAGGUGGAAGGGUGAGGAAGAAACUGAGGCUGUCCAAGGAACAAUCUGCGUUUCUAGAGGGUAGCUUCAAAGAGCACAGCACGCUAACCCUGGAGCAAAAGAGCCGUUUAGCCAACCAGCUGAGCCUUCGACCACGCCAGGUUGAGGUCUGGUUCCAAAACAGAAGAGCCAGGACGAAGCUGAAGCAGACGGAGGCGGACUGCGAGCAACUGAAGCGCUGCUGCGACGCGCUGGCACGGGAGAACCGUAAGCUCCAGCGGGAGGUGGCGGAGCUGCGCGCCUCCCGUGCCCCGUACCCGCUCUACAAUCUGAAUCACCACCUGUCUGGGUUCAGCACGGCGCUCCCAGCGUGCUCAUCAUGUGACGCCACCACCCGUUCCACCGUCUCUUCCGUGUCGUCAUCUCCGGGACCGUCGCCGAUGUCCACCUUGUUUCCCGGCAGGCCUCACUUUGGCCCCUUCACCGUCACCCACCCGGUGCUCCGCCUCCGCCGCCAGCCCUCGGCGACAUUGUGA
Molecule: ribosomal RNA, 921 nt
Filed under: Triticum aestivum (bread wheat)
Lineage: Eukaryota; Viridiplantae; Streptophyta; Magnoliopsida; Poales; Poaceae
Description: partial small subunit ribosomal RNA
Source: RNAcentral